This is a non-coding RNA of Callithrix jacchus (white-tufted-ear marmoset), 19860 nucleotides long. Lineage: Eukaryota; Metazoa; Chordata; Mammalia; Primates; Cebidae. The record is from RefSeq and is a predicted model, not a curated record.
ACAGUCUUCAUUCUCCCUAAAACUCCAGCGAGCCCAAUGGCCAGGGAGUGGGUGGGAGGACGGCAGCCUUGCCAAGCAGGGCGUGCUGGUGUUUUCUCUGAAGCCAAAGCCCCCUGAGACCCCCAGGCUCUGCUUAUCACCUCUGUGCCUACCCACAAUGUCCUGUGCAAUGUCCUGAUGGAAAAUGGAAAGUCGGGUUAAUUGUAUGUGUUAAUCUACCAUAAGUUUGCUUUGAUUUGAGCAAAUGGGCUUCUGAUGACUGCCAAGCUCUCAGCCAAAGCUACCGUUAAAGCGUCACUCAUCAGGCAGUGAGGGAGACACCUUCCUGUGGUCGCCGGCUAGUGCUUCUUCUGUUAUCAGAAUACAGGAUGUGGUGAGCCCAUCCGUUCUCGCUUUGCUUGUGGGUUUGAACUAUCUGGAACUCACAGAGCUCCUCAGGCUCAUCGAAGGCUAGUGCCUUCUGGGAGUGUGCAGUACUGAUAGGACUUGGAUCAGUGACAUCUUUCUAAUGUGUUUCUCUAUUGGUAAAUUAACAAACCGGGCACAUUCACCUGGCAAGAGACUGUGCCCCAGCAGGACGUGGCAUCAAGAUGCCAGGCUUAGGGCCCCUCAGGGUGCUCUCGGGCAGACCCGUUCCUCCCUCUGGGCUGCCUCUCCCUCACCUGUAAGGCAGAGGAUGCAUGUUCUUGGUGCAGCCUCCAACCCUAGGAAGUAAAAUGGCAGGACUGCCUGGAAUCUGUGGGGCUGCUGUCUCCCCAUGCCUCGGGACUGUUUGGGGAAUCAGCACAGCUUCUGGCAGCAGGCGCCUAGUAUGCGUUGCUUCAUCUUGGCAUUCAGGCUGGGAGGUCUCUCUGCGCGGACCCGGACAUCUCCUGGUGACAGUGCUCUGGGGUUGGUGCCGAUGUGCAGGGCAGUGAGCAUGAGGAUGGCAAUGGAUUUCCAUGUGGCUUUUCUCUCACGUUUCCCCCCCCACCCCCUCCUCGACAGCUCAGCACCUCUGAUGGGACCCUGGACCUGGGUGCUUAAGCUGAUCUGUGCCCUUGGGAGGUUCUGCUCCUUACAGGGAGCUCUGCAGACAUGGCCAACUCUUUGAUUCUACUGAUAUUUGGGUAGAUAAGAUUUUACCUUAAAUAGUUAAAUCUGAACUUGUGCUUGCAAAUGCUUCACCAGGAUGAAAUGUUUGUUUUGUGAUGCAUGUUUGCGUGGUGUAACAUAUCCUAAUGAAUAGACGCCACUCAUCCCAGGGGAUUUCAUCCGUGAAAUGAAACAUGUACCUGAACUGCAUCCUCAGAGAGCCCUGGGCAGCCUCAGCCCUCAGAAGGAAGGGGUGAGGUCCGAUGUGCAGGCAGGAAAAUCCCAGGUGCAGACCAACCAGUUCAGAGGGUCCACCCACAGCCACAGACCGGCCAGCUCAGAGGCAGGAAAAUCCCAGGUGCAGACCAACCAGUUCAGAGGGUCCACCCACAGCCACAGACCGGCCAGCUCAGAGGGCCCACCUCCAGGAGGGGCUGAGUAAAUUGUCCAGUGUGACCAAGUUGAAGUGAGAGCCUUCCAGCCCCAUACGACAACCAUCAGAAUCCCACAGGCUCAACAUGUGGUCCUCCACCGGGAGCCCUGUGCAUGGGAACCUUCAUUUACAGGUGGCUCUGGGCCCCAAGGACAAGGUCUGAAGCUCACCCUCUAGGCUCUCAGCCCCACAUGCCCGUGUCCACAGGCUCUGGCAUUUCUGCCUCUUGGAUCUCUAGGGGUUCACUUGUGUGUCUGUCUAUUGUGGGGGCUCUGGAGAUGACCUGUAAGGGCUGGGGUCUUUGUUCACAGGCUGGGGGCCACUCCUAAUGGGGCACCCUCAUCACACCAAGCAUGCCACGAAACAUGGCUGGUGGAUGGUUCUUUCCAUUACUUAGGCCUGGCCCUCUCACAGGGCAGAGGCGCUCCAGGCACACAUCCUGCCCCCAUGCAGCCCCCAGGCAAGGAAUCAAGACAGGACACUGUGCCCGUCAGCUGUCCACCCAGUGCUGCAUGACAAACAGCUCCAAAACUCAGUGCCAUGCAGCAAUCAGCGUCUCUUCCUUGCUUCUCUGUCUGCGGGUUAACCAGGAGCUCAUGUAAGCUGGUUCAGCUGGGUUUGUCUCCAGGCUGCAGGUUGGAUCCCCUCGCCCUCCAUCUUCCCAUCCUUCUUAACCGGGGCCUGUCCCAGGCAUGCACCUCCUACAGCAGAAGUGCCAGAGAAAAGGCAGAAACAUGCAGGGUCUAAGGCCUGUGGUUGGGUCGGAGUGCUGUCGUCUCUGCUCAUAUGCUUUUGACCAAAGUAAGUCUCAUGAACCAGCCCAAAGUCAAGGGGCUGGAAACAUAUUGCCCCCCACCAGCGGGAGGAGCUAUAAAGUCACACUGCAAAGGGCGUAGAUACAGAGAGGGGUGAAGGAUUGGGAGCAAUACUUCCAUGCACCCGAGGUCUUAGAUCACUCUGAUGAUCUCCAGAAGGCAAAACACGUCAUGGGAGAGGCCCAAAGAGCCUCUGGGGUCUGAGGAAGGAGUGGCCACAGCCAGCCGAGAGCCAGGAAGGCUUCGUGGAGAAGGCAGCAUGGGCUUGAUCUGAACCUUGAAGGCUGUGCAGGAUUCAACACGGAGACUGGGAAGCACCUUCCCAUAGAUACAACAGCCCGAGCCCCAGCUCAGAGGUGUCCACAGAGAACAGGAAAUGACAGUUACCCAGCCUGGGCCAUCAGGGACAUGAUAGAGAACGAGGAGAGGCAGACUACAGAGGUGGAUGUUGGUGGGGGCCUCAAAUGCCAAGCUACAGGGCUCGGAUGCAUUCAGAGGGCACUGGGGAGCCAUCUAUGGUGUUUGAGCAGGGCAGGAGUCAGAGAUCUGCUCUGGGAAGGAAGCCCGGUAGCAGGAAGUAAGACGGGAGAGAGGCGGAUGCAAGGAGACUGAUGCCCAGGAAAGGUGCAGAAGGACUGAGCUACCGGAACUGCAGAGAGAAUGAAGGGGUACAGGACCUGAGAAAAGGACAUCGCAACCACCGGGCUGGCCGCUGAUGGGCAGAUGCUGAGACAGAGAGGGCCAGAGAGGAGCAGCAGACCCAGGGAAAGAGAGGGCCUCUUUCGGAGCAUGUGAGGUGCAGGCCACCCCGACCAGGGUGACAUGAGGAACUCACAGAGUGGGCUUGGGCCUUUGGGGGCAGUCCAUCCAAUUCAGUCGCCAAGCCCUUCCCAGCUAGUCACCCACAGCCAGACACCUCUGGACUCCGCAUCCUUUCCCAGCCUCCCACUUCAUUUACCUUUCACCCUGCAUCUAGGGUGCUGAUUUCCUGUCCCGCACCUUCCCCCAUGGCAGCCACCACUCUUUGCUCAUUUGUCAUGGGGGGAGAUAGUUCUGCCUCCAUUCAAAAUCCCACAUUCAUUGUUUCAAUUUAUCAGCCAGAAGAUGAUGUCCUGCUGGGACUUUGCUGGCAUCCUGUGACACACAGUGACCCUAGGGGUUGUGACCCUGGGGUUGCGGCUCAGCACUUAGCCUCAUCCCAGAGCUCAGCCUUGUUUGGCGUGGUCUCAAAGUAUUUCCCAAACGCCAGGUCAGGACAUGUGCUGUGGAGAAGGGCUCCUCUGUCUCUGCCUGGAGUAAGCAGCAGUGUGGCAUCCACAUAGCAGGUUCUGGGGCCCUCCUGCCAUGUAUGGUACUGGCAGUAUCAGAUAUGCCAAUCUGGGGUGUGCCCUGGUGAGGAGAGGAAGAAUGUCCUCGUGAGCUGAACAGAGGCCUCUGCAGACGCCCUUGGGCUGUGAGUGGUGGUCCCAUACCACGAAGCCCCCAGCCACCCUGCUGCACAGUUUAGAAUUGAGUGGGGUGCAGAAGCUGCAGGCUCUGUGUCCCACGCUAAAGUACCAAAGAGUAAGUCCUGCCCCUUUUGACCUGUGGGUCCAAGGCUUUGUGUUUCUGGCACACAGGGUUGGUGGAGGCAGCAAGGGUAGGCCUGAGGGACUGGCAGGACCCCCACCUUGGCCUGUACCCCAACUCUGCACACUAGGAGUGGGCCUUGCCAGGUUGGGGGACUGGCAGGAACCCCCGCCUUGGGCUGCACCCCAACUCUGCGCACCAGGAGGGGGCUUUGCCAGGUUGCAGCACGGAACUGCACUUUCCGAGCUUUUAGGGGAAGAGGCGCUCGUGAAUAAUUCAGCCUCUUUCGCUGAGAUGAAAACGCCCUAAUAGAACUAAUGGACUCGCUGCCUCAAAACACGACUCUGGUGGGACUCAUCUCAUUCACCAAUUGCUUCUGACGUCCUGCAGUGACACUCCCUAAUGAAAAAGCUGCGUGCCAGAUCCUUAGAGCGUCUAGUGAUCCCUAAUAAACUAGACUGUGGCCUUUUUAACAAGCAGACGCCCCCAGGAAGGCAGGUGAGUCCUCCCUUCAGCCCCAGGACUGGAUGCAGCCGCUACCUUCCCAGGGGAGGUGCUGCUCGGGGGUUCGAAUCCCCGGGAAUGAGAAUAAGAGGAGACAAUAUUUUGGGAUGCUUUUGGCUAAUCUGAAAUUAGACCCUCUGUGUUUUUUCAAAGCAGAAGACCUCAAAAAAGAGACAGCCCGAGGUAAACCUGGAAUGACUGUGAUGGAUGGGGUGGUGGGCGGUGGCUUCAGCCGGGCAGCAUCUCUCGCUUGAGCCUGCUUGCAGCCCAGACCUGCCCCAGGCUGGCUGUUUCCCCGUCUGCUGGAGACUCGGCCAUCUAGCUCCCACCUCGUUGUAUUCACCGUUGAUUAAGAUUUAGCAUUUUCCAAUUUUGCCCAGAGCGCGGUCGGGGAGGUUCGGUCUUGUCUGUGCAGGAAGCACGUGCCAAGGGAGCCGGGGGUGCUUGUUUGGGCGUCGGUUUGCUGAUUGUCCUUGGGCGCAAAUUCCUUUGUGUUUGCACUGAUGCAAUGCCGUGCAUUGUAGAGCCGCACCCCGGAAUGGUAGCAGCUCCCCUUCAGUUUCCGCUUUUGAGAACUUUGGUUGGGCUCUCUGCUCUCUGGACAGGUGUCACCAUGCAGAAGUGACAGUCAGGAUUCCUUCUCAGUCUCACAAUUUGUGCUUUCUUGGCUUUCAGUAAACAAAACGAUUCAGAAAUUCCAGGUAGAGGAGUCUGAGAGGAGGUAGUGAUUCCUACUGACUUAAUGAGGUCAACAUCUUUCUUUCAUUUUUCCGUGUCACAGUGUUAAUUCACCUGAAUCCCCCUGGGCCUCUGAUCUACAGGAAUAGAUCUGCACAGGGCAGGCCCAGCCCAGGAAAGAACUUGUAGCGGCCACAUAAUUAGCCAUGGCUAUUGAGGAGGGGCUCAUUUUGCUUGGUACCAGGAUGGUGAGGGAGUGUCAGGGCUCAGAGACCCUCACUCUGGAAAGAAGCUGGAUUCUGGGAUAUUUUGAAUCAGGUCAGGGGUCACUGCACUCUUGAGUUCAGGAAAAGUGGGGUUCCCGAGGCAGGCACCCGGCACUGGGGCCACUUCCUCCUCCCUGCAGUGUCUCACGGGGGCCCUUCAUCCAGGGACCUGAUGCUGUUAGAGUCACCUUCGCUGAAAACCAGGAAUGGAACCCCGGUGUGAGAGAGUCCAGAGGAGCCGGCCUUUGUCCUCUGUUCCCGGGCACCGCUGGUAAUGGGCAGAGCCUCUUGGCCUUUGGCAUGCACACAUCUUUCUUCCCCCGUGGCAGCCCUCCCAGAGUCAUGACCUCUCAGGACCACGGGGAGCCCCCACUGUGCAGGAGGAUGCAAGUCCUGGUGUGGGAGCCCCACACAUACAAGAGAGGGCCACUUGCAAAGAGCCGGUGGGCCUGAGGCAGGAAGCCAUUCCCACCCCCACCAACUGCCGCCCGGCACUGCCAGGAAAUGCCCAGGUGGAGCCCUGGUUGGCCUUUUGGAGCCUGGGCAUUGGUUACUCCCACCCACAUCCCCAAACUUGGCCCCUCACCAUCUUGCCGGGAAGGUGCACAUUCUCUGCAGGAGGGGGUGAUUAUUCACCUCUGUGUUCUCUCCCUUAAGCAUUUUCUGGGGAGAUUUGGUAUCUGUGUGGCUCACUCCUCUAACUCAAGCCUGUGGUCACAAGUUCCUUCCAGCCUUCCUGCUGGCCCCUGGUGGUGGAGUUUUCUCUCCAUGGCAUUUAUCAUAAUUGGUGUCAUCCCACACCCCCUACAAGACUCGCUCCUGGCAGCUUCACCAGCUCCCACCCGGUUAUCCAAAGUGUCAUCUCACACAGCCCACAGCAGCCUGGUACAACAGGCGUUGUACCCACCUCAUAGAUGUGGAGGCUGAAGCUGGAAGUGGUCAAGGUACCUGCCUGGGUCACGCCAUGAGCAGAUGACAACCAGAGCUGCCUCUGUCCAGAAGCUGGUCACUCAGCCACCCUGUCCUCCUGCCCUAGGGCCUUGGCUGUAUUUCCAGGUCCAAACCAGACCCGGGUUGCUUUUUGUGGGUAAUAUCUUAAAAGCUAAUGGCUAUUGAUCUCAGCCUCAUCGGGCCAGGCAGGGAGCUUGCACGUCUGAGGCUGGACCUGCCUUUCAGAAAGAGCCCUGCGGCUGCAGCCUGCCCAAUUGGCCUUCUUUCUAAACACAGACCUCAGGGAAGCAAGGGCUGGCCUCCAUUUGCCCCACACAGGGCUGGCCGCAGGCCACACAGCCACCUCAGAAGCAGCUGCCUGCCGUGCACAUGGAGGGAAGGGAGUGGCCACCAGCAGGCAGGGAGGGGGAGCUGGAGCUGCUGCCUGUGGGUUCCCAGAGCCUCACUUCCUAAGAUGAGCCUGUCCUGGAGUCUGGGCCUCUCUGCCCUCCAGAGCUAUUCUCCCAGAAGGCAAGGCUUUCCAUGCCAGGGCACCCUGCCUGCUCUAACAUCCAGAGGUCCCACAGCCAACACCCCUCCCAGCAUGGAAAUGAGCAGUGGUGAAUGCAAGUCCUGGUGUGGGAACCCCCCAGCAAGAGAGGGAGAGACCUGCAGAGAGCCCCUGGGCCUGAGGCAGGAAGCCAGCCACGCCCUGGUUGGCCUUUUGGAGCCUGGGCCUUGGUUGUUGUUCUACAAGUAUCUGACCCCCUCCUCUGUGCACGAGGGGCGCUCCCGUGGGCACUGAGCAGGCAGCAGUGGCAGCAGGCAGAAGGGUCCCUGCCCUCCUGGACCCAACUUUCAGGGGAGUGAAUUCAGCACACAAGACAACUAGAAAGGAAUCUGCAAGGUGGAUGCUGACAAGCACCAUGGAGACAGUUCACAACAGGAAAGAGGCACGUGGCAUGGUGUGCAUGAGGCAGAGGGUAGGAUGGGAAAUGCAGGACCCCCUGGGGGCCAUGCCCAUCAGACAGAGGUGCAGGCUGGAAGUGACUGGCAUGGCAGGCUGCCCAAGAACAGCUGGUUGCCAGCCUUCAGGGUGGGUGCCAUCCAGCCCUGACUAGGGUGGUGAGGCCAAGGCCUGUGUGGACAUUGCUCCCCAUCUCCCUGUGUGGACAUUGCCCCCGUCUCGGGGGCUCCUUGCCCUCUGGUCUCUCUUUAGCUCCUCUCGGAGCCCACCUUCCCUACCUCAAUUGCAUGUUCAUGCCACAGGCAUUUGCAGGCUCCACUCUGCGCCAGGCCUCAUGCUGGGUGCGACAGGGCAGACAUGAAGGAUCCCUGCAAGUAAGAUACAGAUGAAUACCUGCAGAAAAAUCUCUGUGAAAGGGGCAGCUGAGGGGCUCCUGGAGGUCAACCCCCUCCCUGGGUGCACGUGUAGACAGAGCAGCGAAAGGUCAACAGGCUGCUCACCCGUUCUGGAAGGACCCUGUCACAUGGGGCUCGUUGCAAACUCCUGCCCCUUGUGGCUCCUUCAUUAGGCCUCUGGAGCACACCCCAGGAAGGGCCUGGCCUGGGGCAACUCCAAGACAUCUCAGCCCCCAUCAAGGGCCAUGCCAAAGUCUCUGUAGCUGCCUCAGCCCCCAGAAUAGCCCUCCCAGCUCCUUCCCAAGGAUAAUUGGACUUUUCCUCUCUGGGGCAGAAGGUGGGGACAGUGCUGGCUCCUCUCCAGCUCCCAGGCCAGGUUCCAGGAUCCCAGUCUUCAGCUGGCCCAGCUGAAAUGGUGACUUCCCCUCUGCACCUUCUCUCCCUGGUGACAAUGCUGGGCUGCAGAGCAGGCCCCGUGGGCCAUGAUGAAGGCUUCGGUCAGGUGGGGCGAGGGUCACUGGACUGUGGACCUCCUUUGUAUGGAGCCUGCCUCCAUGUCCUCAUUGCCCUGUCACAGACUGCAGGGUGAGGACUCACAGUCCCCUUCACUGGUCCACUCACUGUUGUGUAUGUGAAUUAACACCAGUGGAUGUGUUCUGGAUGCACGUUUCUCCCUUGACCUUUUAGUUGUCCACCAUCUCUUAGGGCUCACUGCACGUCUGUCUGUGUUGAAAUGCCUCAUUCUUGACAGCAGCACAAAUUCCCACUAUGUGGAUGGACUGUCACUUAGGUAACCAGUUUCCCUACUGAUGGACAUUUAUGUUGCUUUAGCUUAUAAGAAUGCACAUCCAUUAUUUAGGCUAUUUACCCAUGGUUCUUCACAUAGAAACUUUGAAACUCCCCUGUCACAACUAAGCCUCUUUUCCCAACCAACUCUCCCCUGCAACCUGCUUAAAUGCAUUCUGCUCAGUCUUUCUAUUGCAAAAAGCAUGAAGCCCAAAGAUGGUGCAGUAAUGCUUUCAACAAGCAAGGAUGUGUUGUAUAGUAUCACAACACAUUUUCCUUUACAAGGCCAGGAACAAAUAGGACCUUCCCGGGUUAGGGCCACCUGGCAUGCAGGGGUGAGGUGCCUUCCUAGUAUAAUUACAGGAGAGUUUAUUUCAGCAACAGGUGUGUGCUGGACUGCUUUCCCAGGGACAGCUCUUGACCCAGUUUUACCCUGGGAACCACCUCAAGAGAGCCCUGUAAUAUGGCACUGCAGUCACCACGGAACAGCAGCCCUGGUCUUCAGCGUUUGGGAGGGCUCAGGCUCUGCAUGCUGUCUGUGCUCCCGUUUUCGUUUGGACACUUGAGGUGCAGCUGUCCUGCCUGGAAGCCAGUUUUGCCUGUGCUUGUCUCAUGGUUGCAGGGGGCAGAGGAGGGCAGCUUAGCUGGAGUUCCCGGCAAGCACUGCUUUGCGGACUGGGAAUCUCAUGCCAAGAGGUGUUUGCAUCCAGGGGCCAGGUCAUACUCCUAGACACCAAGACCUUCUGGUGGCGGCGCUAGUUAGAGGAUGUUUUGCUGCAGCUGCCCCCUGCCCCAGGCCCAGCCAUCCAGGCUGGGGCAUGCGGGACAUUGGCACACUGUCUAACUCAUCACUGUCUGGACAGCGGCGGCUCCCAGGCCAGGCGGCACCAUGCUGUCCAUGACAUACAGUGAGAGUCUGCGGAGCGUGAGCAGCAGGUGCCACUCUGAAUGGGCCCUGCACCCUGUCCGCCAGACCGACAUGCUGGAACUGCAGCGUCUGCGGGAGGUGCGGGCGGCAGCCCAGGCCAGGAACAUGGAGAGCUUCCUCCGCAUGCACGGCCUCUCCCUGGACGGCUGCACUGCCCAGCGCACAGGCAUGAAGUAUCGGUAAGGGCCGGGCAGGGGGGUGGGGUGGGAAGUCUGAUUUCAGCCAUAUAAAAACAUAUAAAAGGGCCUGGCACAGUGGCUCACGCCUGUAAUCCCAGCACUUUGGGAGGCUGAGGCAGGUGGAUCACCUGAGAUCAGGAAUUCGAGACCAGCCUGGCCAACACAGUGAAACCCCAUCUCUACUGAAAAUACAAAAAUUAGCUGGAUGUGGUAGUACAUGCCUGUAGUCUUAGCUACUCAAGAGGCUGAGGCAGGAGGCAGGAGAAAUGUUUAAACUCAGGAGGCUGAGGUUGCAGUGAGCCAAGAUCACACCACUGCACUCCAGCCUGGGUGACAGGAGUGAGACACUGUCUCAACAACAUCAAAAUGUAUCAAAGAAGAAAAUGAGGCAAGGCACAGUGGCUCACGCCUGUAAUCCCAACACUUUGGGAGGCCGAGGUGGGUGGAUUGCUUGAGCCCAGGAGUUUGAGACCAGCCUAGGCAACAUGGCAAACCCAUCUCUACCCUAAAAUAUAAAGAAAUUAGCUGGGCGUGGUGGCAUGCACCUGUAGUCCCAGCUACUUGAGAGGCAAAGGUGGGAGGAUAACCUGAGCCCAAAGACACUGAGGCUUCAGUAAGCUGUGAUUGCACCACUGCAUUCCAGCCUGAGCAACAAAGUGAAAAGUGAGACCCUGUCUCAAUAAAAUUAAAUAAAAAGUGCCAUAAUCCUAUCCUAUCAAAAGAUAAGCCCUAUUAAGAGUUUGGGGGCAGGCGCAAUGGCUCACACCUAUAAUCCCAGCACUUUGGGAGGCCAAGGUAAGCUGAUCACUUGAGGUCAGGACUUUGAGACCAGCCUGGCCAACAUGGUGUAACCCCAUCUCUACUAAAAAUACGAAAAUGAGGCAGUCGUAGUGCUGUGCACCUUUAGUCCCAGCUACUUGGGAGGCUGAGGCAGGAAGAUUGCUUGAACCUGGUAGACAAAUGUUGCAGUGAGCAGAGAUCGCACCACUGCACUCCAGCCUGGGUGACAGAGGGAGACUCUGUCGCACAAAAAAAAAGAGAGUUUGGUAAAUUCUCCCUGGGAUAAAAAUGUGUGGGGGAUGUUUCUCCAUGGGGAAAAAAAAUGUGUUUCUGGGUGUUGGAGACCCUAAUCUAAGUGAUAGGCACCUAGGUCUUUUCUUGGAACCUCCAAAGGACAUUCUUUUUACUGCUCGCGUCGUUGAAUUCAGCACGUCGGACAGCGCUCUGCUAGCCGUGGUUCUCUGGCUGUUUUUCUUUUCUGAAUCCCUGUAGGUUGCAAAUUGACAGCUGUAUCUUCUAUGCUGCUCAGGAACAAGCCCCUGUGAGAGCCAGUCAGCCAAAGGGCUCUCUCCCCACCCAGUCCUUGUAGAGUUGCCAGUUAAAUUUGAAUUACAGAUGUAACUGGGCAUCCUGUGUUUCAUCUGUCAACCCUAAAUCUCUGGCUUCCGUCUGAGACAGGCCCCUGGGAUUAUCUGCGUGCUCUCUGCAGAGUGGAGUGGAGGCCAGGACUGUUCCUUUCAUGUUUUCUCCUGUGCGCAGUGUGUUUGGUCCUUCAGCCCGUUGUUUGAGGUGUGUGGUUGUUACUUUAAAGAAACAAAACACUUCUGACUGGGCGUGGUGGCUCACCCCUGUAAUUCCAGCACUUUGGGAGGUCAGGUGUUUAGAACAGACUGACUAACCUGGUGAAACCCCAUCUCUAAAAAAAUAAAUAAAUAAACAUUUUUAAAAUAAAGAAAACACUUCUCCUGUGAGUCCAUUAGAUGGCAGAGUUUUUCAGGCUUUGUAUCCUAAAUCCAGUUGUAAAGGAAGGACAAAGGGUCUGCUAGUUUGGCCACAGCUGACCUCCUCGUUCUGCUGGAAAUUUCUUAAGAAGGAGACGCUGUGCAUUCAUGAGGGGCUAGUCAUUGAUGUCUUUUGUUUAUUCAGUAAAUGUUUGUCAAGAGUCUACUUGGCACCAGUCGCUGGGCCAGAUCCUGGAGCUGCUGCACAAACAAAAUCAACCAGGUCUCCACCCUCAUGGCAGCCAUGACCGGGGGUGGGGUGGGGGGGUGCAGAGAAGCAGCAAGCACCCACGGAGAUAAGUUCCAGCAAUGGCCACUUGCCAAGGCAGCAAAGCAGGACAAUGCAAUAAAGAGAGAACAGGGAGGUCGAGGGGGAGCGCUCUGAGAGAGGGGUCAUCUGAAGAUGUGGAGAACAUUCUCUUGGAGAACAUUCCAAGAGAAGAGGGGUCUGGAAUGGACCCUUCUCCAUGUUUCAGGAGCUAAAAGAAGGCCCAGGUGGCUGCGCUGGAGGGAGGAGGGUAGAGGACACGAGGUGAUCAGGCAGGGAGGGGCCAGACCCCAUCCUCCAAACUCUGGGAAAAUCUCAGCUCCCUCUGAUGUGGACAGGAUUUGUGAUGGAGGAGAGUUGAGUGGGUUGAAUCAAGACACAAAAUUCACAUUCAUCCGAAGCCUCAGAAUAUGACAUUAGGCUGGGUGUGGUGGCUCAUGCCUCUAUCCCAGCACUUUGGGAGGCAGCCUGAGCAGCAUGGCGAAACCCCAUCUCUAAAAGCAAUCAAAAAAUUAGCCAGGCAUAGUGACACAUGCCUGUGGUUCCAGCUACACAGGAGGCUGAGGUGGGAGGAUCACCUGAGCCCAGGACUUCAAGACUACAGUGAGCCCUGUUUGUGCCACUGCACUCUAGCCUCUGGAAAAUACACCAGAGGUAUUUUCCAUUUUACAUCUGCCAUGCAGAAAAGUGGGUGCCGUGCAGAGAGUAGCCGCUGGUCCUUUUGUUACUUGGGCAUGUAAAGUUGGGGUUUUCCUUUUGACUUAGUUUUAGGAAAUCAGUGGGAAUUGGCAGCAGAGUGAGACUCUGUCUCAAAAAAAAAAAAAAAAAGAAUGUGACAUUAUUUGGAAAUAUGGUCACUGAUAUAAUUAGUUAAGAUGGGGCAAUGGGGCCAUUUGAGAUUAGAAUGGACCCUAAAUGCUAUGAUUGGUGUCCUUAUAAGAAGGUUGUGUGGUGACAGAGAGUGGAGCGACGCGUCCACAACCCAAGGAACUUCACAUCUUGGUGUUACCAGUGGAGGGUGUCCAGGUUCCUGGCAUCUUGAACAAAGAAUUGGGCAAAACACACAUACAAAGCAAGGAAAGAAUGAAGCAACAAAAGCAGCCGAGUGUGGUGGCUCAAGCCUGUAAUCCCCACAGUUUGGGAGGCCAAAGCUGGUGGAUCAUAUGAGGCCAAGAGUUCAAGAGCAGCCUGAGCAUCAUGGCAAAACCCCAUCUCUAUUUAAAAUACAAAAAUUAGCAGGACGUGGUGGUGGCUCACACCUGCAGUCCCAGCUCUUUGGAAGGCUAAGGCAGGAGAAUCGCUUGAAUCUAGGAGGCAGAGAUUGCAGUGACCGGAGAUUGAAUCAUAGCACUCCAGCCUGGGUGACAGAGAGAGACUCAAUCUCAAAAAAAGAGAGAGAAAGAAAAGAAAACAAAGGUACACUGCACAGGAUGGGAGUGGGCAAGCGGCUCAACAGACUGGAUACAGAAUUUUCUGGGGUUAAAUACCGUGUAGAGGUUUUCCACUGGUUACUUGAUAUACGCCCUAUGUAAAUGAAGUAGUGGCCUGUGAUCAGUCUGAUUAGUUGCAGAAAGUGACCGAUUAGAGGCUGAAGUGAAGUUACAAAUUACAUGUGUAUGCAAAUGAAGACCUGGCCCUGCAACCAGCCUGAUUGGUUGCAAGAGGGGACCAAUCAGAGGUAUUUUCCAUUUUUCAUCUGUCAGGCAGAAAAGGGGGUACCAUGCAAAGAGAGUAGCCUCUGGUCCUUUUGUUACUUGGGCAUAGAAAAUUGGGGUUUUCCUUUUGACUUAGUUCUAGGAAGUAAUCAGGAAUUGGCCUUCAGUUUGCUGCCUCCAGACCUAGUCUCCUGCCCCACCAGGAGCUGCCAGAGGCUGGAAGAAGCAGGAAAGGACACUCAAUUCAAAGGGAGCCCUUCCCACACCUGGACUUUAGACUCCAGAAGUGGGAGAGAAGACAUUUCUGUUGUUUUAAGCUCUCUAAUUUAGGGUUCUUUGUAAUGACAGCAGCAGGGAACUACCACAGGUGGGGAGAACAUGUUUUAUUUGUCUGACGCCCCAAGGAAAAUGUCCAAGCAGCCUCUGAGACACUGCAGGACCCAAUGUGGAGCUGAAAUGCCCUUGGAGAACUCACUUCCUGGGGAGAGGAGGAGACCAGCAGACAAAGGCCCUUUUUUUUUUUUUUUUUUUUUUAAUUGAGACAGAGUCUUGCUGUGUUGCCCAGACUGAAGUGCAGUAGCAUGAUCUCAGCUCACUACAACCUCUGCCUCCCAGGUUCAAGUGAUUCUCCUGCCUCAGCCUCCUGAGUAGCUGGGACUGCAGGCAUGAACCAGCACACCUGGCUGAUUUUUAUAUUUUUAGUAGAGACAGAGUUUUGUCAUGUUGCCGAGGCUGGUCUUGAGCUCCUGAUCUCAGGUGGUCCACCCACCUUGGCCUCCCAAAGUGCUGGGAUUACAGGUGUAAGCCCCCCCACCUCCGACCAACAAAGGCCCUUUAGCGGUUGAUGGGCCAAAGGUUGUUGUUUACACUGGUUGGGGUGAAGUGGCAGGGAGCGGGGGAUGGUGGCCUGUGGUGAAUUUCAUUUUGCUGCACCCAGGCUGGCAGCAGUGGCAUAGCGGGUGCUCCGUGAUUCAAACCGCCGGUUAUUACAGAUCCUAGAUAAAUUUAUUCUGUGGUUAACUCACCUCCAUCAGUGACUGGGCUUCCACUAAACUUGGUCUUAAGUAUGAAUAUAGAAAAGAUGAUACCUGGGGAUAGGCGUUGGCCAGGGCACCAAGGAACCAGCUGUGCCCUCGGCCUGGGCGUUUUAUCAGCUGAACUGAGCUGCAGCUGGUGGAGGUGGCGGGAAGCAUUCCCGUUACACCUCCCCAUUUUUUUUUUUUUAAGACAGAGUCUCACUCUGUUGCCCAGGCUGGAGUGCAGUGGUGCCAUCUCAGCCUACCACAACGUCUGCCUCCCGGGUUCAAGCAAUUCUCCUGCCUCAGCCUCCUGAGUAGAUGGGAUUACAGGCACGAGUUACCACACCUUGCUAUUUUUAGUAGAAAUGGGGUUUCAUCAUGUUAACCAGGCUGCUCUUAAACUCCUGACCUCAAGUGAUCUGCCUGCCUCCACCUCCCAGAGUGCUGAGAUUACAGGCAUGAGCCACCACGCCUGACUUACACUUACCCAUGUUUUAAAUUGUCCUCCAUUCUUGCUGUUAAAAAGAAUUUUAAGGUGAAUUUUUAAAUCCACACAGCCCUGGUGUAAGCGUGAGGGAGCAGGUGAGGGCAGCUGGUCUAGCACCUGCUUUCCCUCCCCCUGUGGAUGGGUUCAGAGAUGUGGCCUCAGACUCUGGCAGGCCAGAAGCUGUGGCCGGGUCCACGCCGUGCUGGCUACACACUAGGCCUGGGUUCGGCUGUGUUUUCCCUGUUCCCCAUAGUGCUGGGAGGGAACCCAAACUCCCCACAAGGCUCCAUGUGGCCCUAGCUCUCCUCCUUGGUUUCAAACCAGACCCCUCUGUCUCCCCCUCAGGAGGCUCUGGACGCCACCCCUUCUUUCUGUAUCUCCAAAGGGAACUCAUUCCCUCUGCAGGGCCCUCGCACUUUCUGUUCCCUCUGCCUGGAGGGUGCAUCCGCAGACAUGGCUGGUUCCUUCCCAUCAUCACAUUUAAGCUUGGUCCCCAAAGAGACUGUCCCAGGCACCCACUCUAAACAAGCACUUACCAAGUCACUCCGAAGCCCCUCUCCUGUGUGAGUGUCUGCCUCACCCCUCCUCCAUCUCGGUUGCCUUGCUUUUUGCCCAUCUGCACUGCUUUGAGGUCAGAGCUUUGCCUGUCCCCUGGCAACCAGGAUGCCCCCAGCCUCUGUGAGUAUAGGUCACAAGGUGCUGCGUGGUCUUGGUCUUUUUUUUUUUUUUUUUAAAGACUGGGUUUAAGCAUGUUGGUCAGGCUGGUCUUGAACUCCCGACCUCAUGUGAUCCGCCUACCUUGGCCUCCAGCAUGGUCUUGGUCUUAAUCCACUUCAAAAGCGCAUGUCUCGUUCUGGCUGUGUCCUUGACAGUGAGAGAACAAGACUGACUGGGAGCUGGUCUGAUGCUCUCUCUGCAGUUCAGGGAGCCUCUGCAGUCCUUGGGCACUGACCCUUGGUCAUGAACUUCCUGGUGGGGCAGGAGUCCUGAUUUCCUGUGCUUUCUGACUCCAGACCCCAGGCUCUUACCACAGGCUAAGGUUCACCAGGAAGUACUUGGUUGGUUGCCAGGUUCAUUGAGCAGACUGUAGUUGCUCAGUUAACCAUAAGCCAUCACUUCCAGUGGGGCCAGCCAGGAAAGACUUCCUGGAAGAGCUGGGAAUCCCCGUGUUUUUUAAAGGACAGGCAAGAAGGAGGGCACUUGAGGGCAGGAGGAGGGGCAGGAGAAAAACAGCAGAGGCCAGACAGGGUUGGCAGAUUAACCUGCCUACAAGGCCAAGUCCAUCCCGGGAAAGGGGGUUCUCCAAGGGACCGGGUCUGUCUUGGGAAAGAUCCUGUUGGACUUUGCUGAGGCUGCUGUAACAAACUAGGUGGUUUACAACAACACAGGUUUCUUUUUCCUGGUUCUGGGGGCCACAAGUCCAGCGUCCAGGCGUGGCAGGGCCAUACUUCCUCCGAAGGUCCCAGAGAGGGUCCUUUUUGCCUCCCGCAGUUUCUGGUGGUACCAGCGGUCCUGUGCAUUCAUCAGCUUGUGGCCACAUAGCUCCAGUCUGUGCCUCUGCCCUCCCAUGGCCAUUUUCCCUCUGUGAGCCUCUAUCUGCAAAUCUCUCUCUGCUUAUACAAACACCAGUCACAGCCAGGCACAGUGGCUCAUGCUGGUAGUCCCAGAACCUUGGGAGGCUAAGGCAAGUAGAUCGCUUGAGCCCAGGGAUUCAAGGCCAGCCUGGGCAAUGUGGCAAAACUCCAACUCUACAAAAAAAUGCGAAAAUUAGCCGGGCAUGGUGGCAUGUGUUUGUGAUCCCUCCCAGCUACUCACCAGGCUGAGGUGAGAGGAUCACUGAAUCCAGGAGGCAGAGGCUGCAGUGAGCCGAAAUCACACCACUGGCACUCCAGCCUGGGUGACAGAACAAGACCCUGCCUCAAAAACAAAAACCCAGUCAUUGGAUUGAAGGCCCACCCUAAGCCAGGAUUGUCCCAUCUUAACUUGAUGACAUUUGCAAAGACCUUGUUUGCCAAUAAGGCCACACUCACAGGCAUCAGGAAUUCCAAUCUCAACUGUCUUUUGGGGACACGUUUCCACCUGCCACAGGCCCCAAGGAUUGACUCAGCACCUUGAACCUGCAGGAACAUCCCUGAGUGUCCUGGGAGGAACUCAGGCCCCCACCAGCCACCUGUGUGACCUCAGAUGAGUCCCCCGGCCUCUCCACAACUCAAUUUCCUUACCUGGAAAGUGGAGACCAUGGUCCCUACAUCACAAUUGUCCUGAGGACUAACUAAGAUGGUGACACAACUCAAAGCUCUAGGCUGGGCUCCUUGAAGAGAAAUGCAGGCUCUUCCUCUCCCUGGGAAAGGGACCUUCCCACCCAGCAGUCGUUGUCCAGGCAUCUGAACCGUCCUCUAUCUGUCCGUCUUGGGGUCUCAUUCAUGCACCUAGUCGCACUUAGAGCUGCAGUUCAGUGCCACGCAGACGGGGCAGAGGCAUCAGGAAGGGAGGGAGGCAAGCAGCCAGUCAUUCUGGAAGAGCUGCAAGGCCAGACGCAGAGGCUGGGAGAAAGCCAGCUGGCAGGCCCAGGGCUCUCCAUAAGGCCCUGCCCAGGACCAUAGCGGGCAGCUAUGUGGGGCCUGUGUUGGGGCCGGGAUGGCUUCUGCUGGCAGUGGGCACCACAUUGGAGACUUGGUGGUCAUAGUCAUCCCAGGCAUGGGAACAGCAUCCAUCUGCAGCCCCAGCCUCUCCAGCCCCAGCUCCCCUAAAGGGACAGAACAGCCUUUCCCUCCCCAAGUGCUGCUGAAGGAGGAGUGGGAGGAAAGGCAGAGACCCAAACACCUGCCCUGGUUACCUUGUAACCACUUCACGAUGUCCUCGGUGUUUCUGGAGCUGGCCUGACCAUAGGAAUCACGGGAUGCACCUGUUUCUCAUGUUUCUUGUUUUGUUUUGAGACAGGCUCUUGCUCUGUGGCCCAGGCUGGAGUGCAGUGGUGCAGUCACAGCUCACUGCAGCCUCAAUCUCCCAGGCUCAAGUAAUCCUCCAGUCUUGGCCUCCCUACUAGCUGGGACCACAGGCUCACACCACCACAACUGGCUAAUUUUUGUGCUUUUUGUAGAGAUGAGUCUCACUAGGUUGCCCAGGCUAGCCAGGAACCCCUGGGCUCAAGCGAUCUACCCACCUUGGCCUUCCAAAGUGCUGGGAUUCUAGGUGUGGACCACUGUGCCCAGCCAUAUCUGUCACAGUACAGAUCACCAGGCCCCUGCCUGGAGGUUUGAGGCAUCUGCCUGCCCCGAGACGCUCUUCAGACCAGCAAGGUCAGGGGGUACCACCCAGUACUGGUGCCAUGGUCAUUGUUUCUGGUCUUGUUAUGUCUCAAAGGGUUGCUUCUGAGGACGGAAGGAGGAAAGGAAGGAGAGGUGCUCACUCGGGGCCGGCACAGUUGCAUGAGAAAUGGCAGCAACUCAGAACAGAGCCGGCCGACUCACAGCUGCCGGUCGCCUUCCCCUUUCAGGGCUCCUAGAGUUGGAAGUGAGUGGGGCUGUGAGGUCCUGGUGAGCAAGAGGAAGGAGGAGGAACUUACACGGCUUUGCAGACCAUGUAAAGCCAGUUCCCGGGGAGCCCACACACGGCCUGCAGAACUUGUCAUAGCGUUACCUGCAGCUUCAAGGUGUGACCCCAGCACAGUCCAUUCAGCCCGACCACAGAAUGGGCCCCACCAGUGGGAUGUACACUCUGGGCAAGGUCCACAGAAGCUCACAUGUCCUGUCACCAGUCCUGUGGCCUCUUCCUUCCCUCAGCCUCCCACCGUCCCUCUGUGUCAAGUCCCCCAGCAUCUGGUGCACCCUCUGACAAGGCCAGUGGGUCAUCCUACUCCAGACACAGAACCUGCCGCUGCCUCACAGGCUCCCACCCUCUGCCCUUCUGCUGCUGCUUUCAGGAGAAGGACAUUCUUGGAAUUCCGCAUGGAGCCCAACUUCUCCCUGGAGCCCUUCCACACUCCCUGACACUGCUGACCCGCUCUCCUGCUGGCUGACUUGGCCUUGAACACAGGUGGCUUAGGCCUUUCCCAGGGACCCUUGCUUCACAUCUCAGCUGAAGGAAGCCACACUCACAGCACUUAGCCCCUGUGGGGUCUUCAGCUCUUACUCUCCUGGUGGACUCCUCCUCCAGGAAGGCCACCAGCCUUGCUUCCCUUUGUUCUUACAAACUGCUCCACUGGGGCAGCCCCUCAACUGUUCAGCAUCUGCUGCCCUUCUUUGGGCAAUAAGCCACCUUUGGAUGCAAACCACGCUCUAUUCAGCAUGGCUGAGGCGAUCUCUGCAGGCUGCAGAACCUCAGCCUCACUCUCAGAGGAGCUGCUGAAGGCUGUGCUUUUAAAAGCCAUAUCUAAAACCUCCAGGCUCUGAGGCCUCCACAGGCCUAGUUGAGGGCAUCUGCCCCUCCCACUGCGAGCCUGUUUCCAUUAUCAGGGAGGAGCUGGCUGGACCUGGCUUUCCUGCCUCUCCAGGCCUGAGCGGGAGGAGUGGACCCCAGGCCCUGAGCCGGAAACCUCCCCUACAGGGAUGCUGUCUGUAGUGCACUCCAGGGACACACCACAGAGCUUCUAAUUGGGGAUGGCCAUCCCCCCCCCCCACACCGAUGACUCACAGCGGGAGCUAGCUGCUUCAUCUUAUCCGCAGCAGGUACCAGAGAAUCAGAAAAAGAAACAGAAAUCUGUUGUAAGUUGAAGUCAACCAGCCACACUCAGUGCCUCUGACCAAAGCCUGAUAGAAGUCACCCAGCACAUGGCCAGGCGUGGCUCAUGCCUGUAAUCCCAGCACUUUGGGAGGCCAAGGCAGGUGGAUCACUUGAAGUCAGGAGUUCAAGUCCAACCUGGCCAACAUGGUGAAACCCCGUGCCUAGCAAAAAUACAAAAAUUAGCUGGGCAUGGUGGUGCAGGCCUGUAAUCCCAGCUGCUCAGGAAGCUGAAGUAGUAGAAUCACUUGAACUCUUGAACUCAAGGUGGAGGUUGCAGUGAGCCGAGAUUGUGCCACUGUACUUCAGCCUGGGCGACAGAGCAAGACUCUGUCUCGAAAAAAAAAAAAAAGGAAAAGAAAAAAGAAGUCAACCAGCACAUGAUCUGGAUCUCACCCUCGUCCCCA